UGGGGAAUUUUGGACAAUGGGGGCAACCCUGAUCCGGCAAUGCCGCGUGCAGGAAGAAGGCCUUCGGGUUGUAAACUGCUUUUGUACGGAACGAAAAGGCUCUGGUUAAUACCUGGGGCACAUGACGGUACCGUAAGAAUAAGCACCGGCUAACUACGUGCCAGCCGCCGCGGUAAUACGUAGGGUGCAAGCGUUAAUCGGAAUUACUGGGCGUAAAGCGUGCGCAGGCGGUGCUGUAAGACAGGCGUGAAAUCCCCGGGCUGAACCUGGGAAUGGCGCUUGUGACUGCAGUGCUGGAGUGUGGCAGAGGGGGAUGGAAUUCCGCGUGUAGCAGUGAAAUGCGUAGAUAUGCGGAGGAACACCGAUGGCGAAGGCAAUCCCCUGGGCCUGCACUGACGCUCAUGCACGAAAGCGUGGGGAGCAAACAG
RNAcentral lists this ribosomal RNA (428 nucleotides) under uncultured bacterium. Its description in RNAcentral is "bacterial SSU rRNA". It matches the Rfam family "Bacterial small subunit ribosomal RNA", at positions 355 to 775 of the family's 1533-position model. The record is from RNAcentral.